GCUGCCGGAAUUCUCGAAACGUUUUUAAUUUUUUCCGUAAUAACCAAAUUAGUUCUCUCGUUUUUUCUUUGCUGAUGUGAUUUACUAAUUUUCUCUGUUCCUGUCUUGUUUCUCGCUCUGUCUUUUCUUUUUCUUUGUCAUUUGUAAUCCAUUGAAUGAGAGGGGAUAAAGAGCUUAUGGCGCGAAUGGUAGUUGAAAGAGUCAAAAUUGAGAAAGGCAAAAGCAAUUACGAAAUACUAGAUGCCUAUGCAUUUUAGUGGGCCCACAUUGCUACCAUUUGAUGUUAGAGUCCAAGCCCAAACUUGAUCUAAGAGCAUCUUUAUCUUUAUCGGGAGAUCUUAUGAGGAGUUUUUAGUUUAAUUAGGAAUUAAAGAAAAAGAAAAAAGCCAAUUACCAGAAGCAACGUAUCUUAAUUAGGUGACAUAGGAUACGCCUCUUGAUGCCACCCGUCGCUUUUUUGGGGUAGACAAUUUCUUCUCCCUCUUCCUUGCCCUGUCGCUGACGAAGAACCCCGCUUUCUCUGAGGUUUCCUAAUCAGAGAUGGAGAUUGAUUCCGUCGCAGCUGGAGGAGCUCUUAAACCAGAUGGAGAUCGAUUCCGUCGAGACGAGGAACCCCGCUUUUUGAUAGGUGUGGGCGAUUACAGAUGCAAAGAGGCAAGGUUUAAUCCCCUCCGCCCUUAAACCAGGAGGAGCUCUCCGGUUUAAUCCCCGGCGCCGUCCGCUUCACCUUCCCAUCACUUGCUCUGUCUCUCCAUCAAACCAUCACUUUCUCUGUCUCUCCAUGAAAUGAUGAACCAUCCUCCGAACUCUGUGAGAUAAGCACAUACGUUUGCGUCAUUACCUCUCUAAGAUAAGCCACAGGUUCCGCAUCUUUCUGCUUCUACAGUUUCUGGUCGUCACUGUUAGCCAGUUUACCACGUUUUUCCAGACCACUGCGUAUAGCGGACGUAUCACGUAUAUAAACGGUGGUGAUUUCACGGUCUCUGCGGUGGUCCAAGUUGUUGGGAUUAUUUUGUCUGCACGCAGCAACGAAAAUAUCUCAUAGAGCUCAAGCGAUAGCAUCAGUUGCAAGUAAAUGGCAUGCAAUAAUGUUGUGCUAAUCUACGGAUACAACUCAGAUAAGGACUUGUCCUAGUGGAGUUCACUUGGAAGCCACCACGAAUCCACCCAUCUCCUUUCAGAAUUAGGUACGCCAUUGCUGAAUGACACCAUCUUUGAUCACUUAUUUGGAAAAAUAUUUUUGUCUGCUUUGGUGUUUUUGCAUAUGUAUACAAAUGUUUUUAUCACAUUCUUUCUUAUCAUCUGAACUUCUUGUUUUUUUUGUGCUGUGUUUCUACUUGUAUUUUAAAUCUAUGUUUAAAAUGUUAUGUUUAAAAAUUUAAUAAAUAAAUUUGAAGUUUAAUAAAAUAAUGUUUGAUAUUUUUUUUAAGAAACCUUAAAUAAGAGAUUGCAAUGGACCACACAAAUAUAUCCGUCUCUUAACUAGGUCUCUUAAACCCAUUUUUCCAACUAAAAAUUAUUAAAAAAAGAUUAAGAACCCCUAAAUGAGUAUGUGGGAUAAUGAUGCUCUAAGAAACUAGAAUCAUAUUGAAGUUUGGUUUUACAAUUUUUUAAAAAAAAAUUUUUAGAGAACUUGCAUUUGUGCAAGUAAUACUUCAUCCGUUUCUAAUCGUAAUUAGUUUUGUUUAAAACCACAAAUAUUUAAAAAAUUGUUAUUUAAAAGAAUAUAUCAUUUAACCAAUUAAUUCAACCAAUUAUUAAAAAUCUAUAUUAUUAAAAGAGAAGUACUCAUUUGAAAACGUUCUUAUUUCAUUAAUUAAACUCUUUUUUUUUUGCUUUGUCUUUUUCAGUUGCAUUUAUGAAAUAUCCUAAAACGAAUAAAACUGCCUAAUUUAUUACUUGUCUUUUCAGUUACAUUAAUGAAAUAUGCUUAAAUGAAUUUAAACUUCAUAUUUUAUUGUUUGUCUUUUUCAGUUAUCUUAAUGAAAUAUCCUUAAAUAAAUUUGGACAUAAUGUCAUUUAAUCAACCAAAAAAACUCAUGAGUUAUCCUUACGUGCAUAAUUUUAAUAAUGGAGAUUUUUAAAAACGUGCAUCAUUAAAAUGUUACCUAAAACAUGCAGCACUAAUAUAUAACAUGCAUCAAUAAAACUAGAAUUUGACUCACACAAUUGUACGGAUAUUAUUUUCAGUUGAUUAAAUUUAAAAAUAAUUAUUUAUUCAAAAAAUAUUUAAGAAUGACUAUGUUUUUAAAAAUUAUAUGGUAUUAUUUGCUCAUAACUCAUUUGUCAUUUGUUAAAUUGUUAGAAAGAAAAUUUUAGCAUAAUAUAACUCAGUUGUCAUUUGUUAAAUUUAUGGUUUUUAUUUAUAUUUUUUAUUAUUUAAUUAUAAUAUUUUCAUUUUAUAUUUGAAAGAUAAAUGAAUUUUCUUUCAAACAAUAUUUUUGUAAAUGUACUUUUUAAAAAAUAAUCAAUUAAAAUUGUUACUAUCAUUGAAUAUCAUUAUUUUUGACAUAAUUUGAGUUUUUGUUUACAUCAAAACUUAUCAUAUUUUAGGAUAAUUUUAAUUUAAAAUGUAGUUUUCAUAUUUUUCAAACAAAUUCUAAAAAUAUUUUUUAAAUAUUUUGUUAUAAUUUUUUAAAAAAUAUUGAGUUGCAUUUCAAUUAAAAAGGUAAAGAUAUUAAAAAUAUUCUAAUUAAAAUAUGUAAAAUUUAAUAUAGUUUUAAGGAAAUUGUCAAAAUAAAAAAAAUUACACAUAAAAUAAUCAUGAUUUUUGUUAACUAGGCGGAUUAUUAUUUAUAUGAUAUCGCACACGAAAAAAAAAAUUCUGUUUUUAAAAUUAUCUAAUUAACUCUAUACUCAUUUUUCUUAUAUUUUUUAUAUGAUAUCACACAUUCGUAAAAAAAUAAGUAGUUUAAGAUGCAAAAAAAAAAAAUCUAAUUAAUGAAUAUAAUAUGAACGAAUAUUACAAAUACAUCAUUUAAUAAAAUAAAUAAUUAAAAACUGAAAAUUCAUAUCCGCGCUGGCGCGCGGAUCAGGAUCUAGUCUAACAUUAUUUCAUUGGUCACACAAUAUCCAAUAAAUGAAAAAGAUGCAUUGAAAUAUGUAAACUACUUAUAUUGUGAAACAAACUAUUUUCGCUAAAACUAAUUACAUUUAGAAACGAAAGAAUUAGUAGUUUUGUUAUACCUGCAUCUCAAAAUGCUAAAUAUUUAGUCCCCAGAUUGCAUUUUUUAAAACAAAAUUUAAAUAAUUAACUUGUUCAAUGAAUACUCGGGACCAGAUUGUGUUUCAAAAACAUGCUUUUCGUUUCUAACAUUCCGUAUGAAGCCUGUGAAGAAGUUCCAAUUUUUUGUUGUUCACAUUCAAAGUAUUUGUCGGUGUCAGAUUCGGUUUGCUUUAUCACUAGUUGUAAGUUUGUAACGGACAUUUUUGCAAAAAAAAAAAAAAAAAAAUUGUAACGGACAUUUUUGCAAAAAAAAAAAAAAAAAAAAAUUGUAACGGACCUACUUCCAUUGGUUAAUGAUGGAAACGCAAAGCUUCUCUAUUUCGCCGUCACACAUUAAUGCAAAUGACUGUUUACAAUAUAUUUCAACGUAUAACCAUUUGCAACGUAUAUACUAUAUGAAUGAAACGUCAAAUGGACCAAUGGUAACAUUUACAAACAUUGCUUCUCAGACAUCCCAUAAAUUUGUAUAUUAUACAACUAGGUGAUUAUCCGCGCACAUGCACAAAAUGAAAUGUAUAAUCUAAUAAUUGUUGAAUACGAAUUUUAACCGUCCAAUCAUAAUUAUAUAAUUCGUAAGCCCUAUAUAUAUUAAUCUAAAUAUCUAUUAAAUAUGAUUUACUCAUAUGGUUUUAUGAUUAUUUGUAUUUUAUUAUAACAAAAAUUUUAAACUAAAAAUCAUAAAAUUUUCAGUGUGAGACUUUUAACAAUUUUUCGUUAUUUAUAGUCAUUUUAAAAAUUAAAAAAAUAUAACAUAUAUGAAAAAAAUCUAAUUAUUAAUAUGGUUAAUACGAUUGUUUAAUUUAUUUUUAAUAAUAUAACAUUAAAAAUAACGAAUAUAUGUAAAUUAUUGUCAAAUCUUUAUACUUAAAAUUAUUAAUUGUCAAAUAUAUAUUUUGUUCACUUUUGGUAAUUCUGUAAUUUUUAUUUAAUGAAAGAAGGAAAAACAAUAAUUGUAGAUUGUUAAUUAAUUUCAUGGUUAGUUUAAAAAGAAGUAUAUAAGAGCAUCAGCAUUAAUGUACCCCAUAAAAGGGGUUCACAAAGUAUUUUUUUAUUAUUUUUUUUUCUGUUUGAUUUUUGUUUUAAAAAAAAAAAAUUAUUAAUCGGACCAAUCGCGGGCCGCCACGUGUCGUGGGGCCCGCGCUACAGUGAUGAUCCGUGUUCAGUGCAGUGAACUCCCAAGAGGCAGGUUCAUUGCUUUUAUUUAUUUUAAUUUUUUUUUUUUUCGAAAACUGUGUGAACUCUCCGUGGAGUUCACUGAUGCUGAUGCUCUAAUAUAUGUUUAGUAGAUCAACAUAUUUUUCUAAAGACUUUAAAAAACAUUCUAAUGAUGAUUCGUGUCAUAAUUAAAAUGUUGUAAUGUUUCUCUUUUAAUAUACAUGGGAUCUCCAGUCAUUUUAUUUAUUUUUAGAUUACCUCAGCUACAGGAGUGUAACAUAGAUAGGGAUCGUCAUGUAGAAUAUUGCGAUGGUCUUGUGUAGCAAAAGAAGCACUGCUUGAAUGCAUAUUGCAUUGCAUCACUAAAAACAUAUAUUAUGUUUAUGUAUAUAUUAUUAUAUAUAGACUCGAGAUGGUGUUACAAAAAAAAAAAAAAAGUGUUACAAAAAAAAGACUCGAGAUGUUGUUCAACCGUAUUGUAUUCUCAUUGAUAAAAUCUUGCAAGUUGUGCUGAAUAUGAUUUUAUUCCUCUUGGCACUAUCGUCUACGACAUUUGUUAUAUAAUAUUUUGCGUCUCCAUACAUGUUAAAUUCUUUAGUCUCUUGUUGGUGCUGGAACUUAUUUUAACGAAAAUUCAACGCACACCUUCAUUAAACAAAACGACUAAAAUUUAACUUUGUCGUUGGAAAACCUUAAUUGAGCAAAAAAAAAAAUCAUAUUAGGAUUUAGGACUAAGCAAAAUUAACUCUUGAGUAAGUUGAAUUUUCUAAACACAUACAUCAAACAAAAAGGUCUACAUGUAAAUUAUUCAGAUACCUCUUUACACUCUCGAUAUACUAGUGAAAUUGUGACUAAGACAGGGUUGUGCUAUGGUGAAAAAGCGUUCACUUUUAGCAACAAUUAGUGGUUAGGAACUAUAAAUUGAUUCUUUGUGCUCUUAACUCGAUGUACGUUGGAAAGAUUGUUUUACAAUAGGUCAUAUAAGGCAUUAUUGUUAGCAAGAGCUGAUCCUGAAUCUAAGACCAACAUUAUCGGCACUUCUUAGCGAAGUUGCUUAGUAAUAAUCACCCAAAAUUUAAAUCAAAAUUAUGGAAAAACAAAAGAGUCGUCGGUUAAUUAAGAACUUUUCGAACAUGUCCUUAAAGGGCACGUGGCGUAAGGCAACAAGUUUACCGAAUGGGGUAGGGGAAAGUAAAGUUUACGGUAUCGACUUCAUUCUCAUCGUCUCCCUAUUCUCUCUCUUUCGUCGGCGAUUUCAAACAGACGGUCAUCUGGUCGUUCAAUCCACACCGAUCUCUCCUGUCAUCGAACCCUUCUCCGCCGAAUCCAAUCGAAACCGGGUUUAGUUAAAAUGGGCCGUCGAUAUAGCUACAGCCAGCCUUAAGAUCCAGAGGAGUAUGGUGGGGGAGAUAGCUGACAGUGGAUACAACUCAACGAAAGAGCUUAUUCGUCGGGACCAAGCUGAGUUAAGCAUCAAUUGUGGUGCACCGGCUCAGUACCCUCCGCAACCCGAGGUUGAGUUUGGAUUCCCGCAGACAUGCUACUGUGGUGGUGAACCUCUACUAGCAACGUCGUACACAAAAAACGAUCCAGGAAGAAGAUACUACACAUGUGAGCAGGUUGAUGAUGGAGAAUUCCAUGUUUGGAAGUUGUGGGAUGUCGCGGUGAUGGAGGAGAUGAAGGCCAGAGAUAGACACAUACUUCAACUGGCUGAAAAGGUAGAUAAUCUCACCUUUUUGAGUGACUUUGAGACUGAGCAGAAGUUGGUUAGGUUAGAGAAGCUUGUGUGUGACUUAGCAAAGAAGAGAUCAAGUUUUAUCAAUGGGUUUGAAGUAUUUGUUGGUGUAAUGAUCAUUGUUUUAGUUUUCAUAGGUUUGGUGAUCAUCUUUAUGUGAAUCCAGAUGUUGUAGUAAUCUGUAAUCUGAUUUGUACUGAUCAGUUUGUUGGUGUAAUGAUCAUCGUUAUUGAUCAGUUUUUCGAACAAGCCUUUUGUAAUGAAUCAGAUUUGUACUGAUUUUUGUUGAACUCUUUGUAAUGAUUCAUAAUGACUUAUGAAUUUAUUUAUAAAUGAACUCUUAUCG
Brassica napus (rape) is the source of this 6462-nucleotide long non-coding RNA. RefSeq lists it as uncharacterized. The record is from RefSeq and is a predicted model, not a curated record. The transcript is spliced from 4 exons. NCBI's taxonomy places the organism in Eukaryota, Viridiplantae, Streptophyta, Magnoliopsida, Brassicales, Brassicaceae.